Molecule: ribosomal RNA, 468 nt
Filed under: uncultured bacterium
Lineage: Bacteria
Description: partial 16S ribosomal RNA
Rfam family: Bacterial small subunit ribosomal RNA
Source: RNAcentral
GACGAACGCUGGCGGCGUGCUUAACACAUGCAAGUCGAACGGAAAGGCCCUGCUUUUGUGGGGUGCUCGAGUGGCGAACGGGUGAGUAACACGUGAGUAUCCUGCCCUUGACUUUGGGAUAACUUCAGGAAACUGGGGCUAAUACCGGAUAGGAGCUCCUGCUGCAUGGUGGGGGUUGGAAAGUUUCGGCGGUUGGGGAUGGACUCGCAGCUUAUCAGCUUGUUGGUGGGGUAGUGGCUUACCAAGGCUUUGACGGGUAGCCCGCCUGAGAGGGUGGACGGCGUCAAGACGACUACGGUAGGGCGCAGUCUGCUAUGUGAGGCAACAGUGGGGAAUAUUGCGCAAUGGGCGCAAGCCUGAUACGGCAGCGCUGCGAGCGGGAUGCUGGCUUUCGGGUUGUAAACCGCUUUGGCAUGUGACGUAGAGGGAGUGACGGUAACGGGUAAAGAAGCACCGGCUAACUACGUG